GUGCCAGCCGCCGCGGUAAUACGUAGGCACCAAGCGUUGUCCGGAUUUAUUGGGCGUAAAGAGCUCGUAGGCGGUUCGGUAAGUCGGGUGUGAAAACUCUGGGCUCAACCCAGAGAGGCCACCCGAUACUGCCGUGACUGGAGUGCGGUAGGGGAGUGGGGAAUUCCUGGUGUAGCGGUGAAAUGCGCAGAUAUCAGGAGGAACACCAGUGGCGAAGGCGCCACUCUGGGCCGUAACUGACGCUGAGGAGCGAAAGCGUGGGUAGCAAACAGGAUUAGAAACCCCCGUAGUCC
This 293-nucleotide ribosomal RNA is filed under the name uncultured bacterium. RNAcentral describes it as "partial 16S ribosomal RNA". It matches the Rfam family "Bacterial small subunit ribosomal RNA", at positions 505 to 796 of the family's 1533-position model. The record is from RNAcentral.